Molecule: ribosomal RNA, 267 nt
Filed under: uncultured bacterium
Lineage: Bacteria
Description: partial 16S ribosomal RNA
Rfam family: Bacterial small subunit ribosomal RNA
Source: RNAcentral
GCUGGCGACCGGCGCACGGGUGAGUAACACGUAUCCAACCUGCCGAUGACUCGGGGAUAGCCUUUCGAAAGAAAGAUUAAUACCCGAUGGCAUAGUUCUUCCGCAUGGUAGAACUAUUAAAGGAUUUCGGUCAUCGAUGGGGAUGCGUUCCAUUAGGUUGUUGGCGGGGUAACGGCCCACCAAGCCUUCGAUGGAUAGGGGUUCUGAGAGGAAGGUCCCCCACAUUGGAACUGAGACACGGUCCAAACUCCUACGGGAGGCAGCAUG